CGCAACAGAGUUUGAUCCUGGCUCAGAUUGAACGCUGGCGGCAGGCCUAACACAUGCAAGUCGAGCGGAUGAGUGGAGCUUGCUCCAUGAUUCAGCGGCGGACGGGUGAGUAAUGCCUAGGAAUCUGCCUGGUAGUGGGGGACAACGUUUCGAAAGGAACGCUAAUACCGCAUACGUCCUACGGGAGAAAGUGGGGGAUCUUCGGACCUCACGCUAUCAGAUGAGCCUAGGUCGGAUUAGCUAGUUGGUGAGGUAAAGGCUCACCAAGGCGACGAUCCGUAACUGGUCUGAGAGGAUGAUCAGUCACACUGGAACUGAGACACGGUCCAGACUCCUACGGGAGGCAGCAGUGGGGAAUAUUGGACAAUGGGCGAAAGCCUGAUCCAGCCAUGCCGCGUGUGUGAAGAAGGUCUUCGGAUUGUAAAGCACUUUAAGUUGGGAGGAAGGGCAGUAAGUUAAUACCUUGCUGUUUUGACGUACCAACAGAAUAAGCACCGC
This 498-nucleotide ribosomal RNA is filed under the name Pseudomonas sp. BZ2. RNAcentral's name for it is "bacterial SSU rRNA". It matches the Rfam family "Bacterial small subunit ribosomal RNA", at positions 1 to 496 of the family's 1533-position model. Lineage: Bacteria; Pseudomonadati; Pseudomonadota; Gammaproteobacteria; Pseudomonadales; Pseudomonadaceae. The record is from RNAcentral.